UGUUAUGCGUUUACUUUACUACAUUGGUUAGAGGUAUAGGGGGAGGGUUGAGAUCUCACAAACAUGUUUAACCCCGCCGCAUUUUUGCGUCUGUCCCAAGUCAGGAGCCUCUGGCCUUUGUUAGUCUUGUAUUAUUUUAAUUUUAGUUUCUUGUGUACAAUUUGGAAAUUAGUAUGGCGUUCAUUAUCACUGGACUAGUAUAUAUUUGUUUAGGGGC
Molecule: long non-coding RNA, 217 nt
Filed under: Mytilus galloprovincialis (Mediterranean mussel)
Lineage: Eukaryota; Metazoa; Mollusca; Bivalvia; Mytilida; Mytilidae
Source: RNAcentral